This is a non-coding RNA of Eptesicus fuscus (big brown bat), 89 nucleotides long. NCBI's taxonomy places the organism in Eukaryota, Metazoa, Chordata, Mammalia, Chiroptera, Vespertilionidae. The record is from RefSeq and is marked provisional.
CAGGUCACUGAACAAUGGGUCGGUUGGAGUUUAGAGGGAGGUGGCGGUUCAAGCUCCGGCCAAGCGUGCCCAGGCGUUGCACCUGUGCC